AUUGAACGCUGGCGGCAGGCCUAACACAUGCAAGUCGAGCGGAUGAAGGGAGCUUGCUCCUGGAUUCAGCGGCGGACGGGUGAGUAAUGCCUAGGAAUCUGCCUGGUAGUGGGGGAUAACGUCCGGAAACGGGCGCUAAUACCGCAUACGUCCUGAGGGAGAAAGUGGGGGAUCUUCGGACCUCACGCUAUCAGAUGAGCCUAGGUCGGAUUAGCGAGUUGGUGGGGUAAAGGCCUACCAAGGCGACGAUCCGUAACUGGUCUGAGAGGAUGAUCAGUCACACUGGAACUGCGACACGGUCCAGACUCCUACGGGAGGCAGCAGUGGGGAAUAUUGGACAAUGGGCGAAAGCCUGAUCCAGCCAUGCCGCGUGUGUGAAGAAGGUCUUCGGAUUGUAAAGCACUUUAAGUUGGGAGGAAGGGCAGUAAGUUAAUACCUUGCUGUUUUGACGUUACCAACAGAAUAAGCACCGGCUAACUUCGUG
RNAcentral lists this ribosomal RNA (484 nucleotides) under uncultured bacterium. RNAcentral's name for it is "partial 16S ribosomal RNA". It matches the Rfam family "Bacterial small subunit ribosomal RNA", at positions 30 to 507 of the family's 1533-position model. The record is from RNAcentral.